This 73-nucleotide transfer RNA is filed under the name Treponema bryantii. It matches the Rfam family "tRNA". Rfam says of the family: Transfer RNA (tRNA) molecules are approximately 80 nucleotides in length. Their secondary structure includes four short double-helical elements and three loops (D, anti-codon, and T loops). RNAcentral also lists the same sequence under 3 other names. Lineage: Bacteria; Pseudomonadati; Spirochaetota; Spirochaetia; Treponematales; Treponemataceae. The record is from Rfam by way of RNAcentral.
GGCGACUUAGCUCAGUUGGUAGAGCACACGGCUCAUAUCCGUGAUGUCAAUGGUUCAAUCCCAUUAGUCGCUA